GACAGAGGUGCCGAGCGUUAGGCGGAAUCACUGGGCUUAAAGCGUGUGUAGGCGGACUUCUAAGUACCUUGUGAAAUCCCACGGCUCAACCAUGGAACUGCUCGGUAUACUGCGAAUCUUGAGCCACUUAGGGGCUACCGGAACAAAUGGUGGAGCGGUGAAAUGCGUAGAUAUCAUUUGGAACGCCAAUGGUGAAAACAGGUAGCUGGGAGUGUGCUGACACUGAGACACGAAAGCCAGGGGAGCGAACGGG
This 253-nucleotide ribosomal RNA is filed under the name uncultured bacterium. Its description in RNAcentral is "partial 16S ribosomal RNA". It matches the Rfam family "Bacterial small subunit ribosomal RNA", at positions 524 to 776 of the family's 1533-position model. The record is from RNAcentral.